RNAcentral lists this ribosomal RNA (183 nucleotides) under uncultured bacterium. RNAcentral's name for it is "partial 16S ribosomal RNA". It matches the Rfam family "Bacterial small subunit ribosomal RNA", at positions 1310 to 1500 of the family's 1533-position model. The record is from RNAcentral.
ACCCGACUCCAUGAAGCUGGAUUCGCUAGUAAUCGCGCAUCAGCCACGGCGCGGUGAAUACGUUCCCGGGCCUUGUACACACCGCCCGUCAAGCCAUGGAAGCCGGGGGUGCCUGAAGUGCGCUGCCGCAAGGAGCGCCCUAGGGUAAAACCGGUGACUGGGGCUAAGUCGUAACAAGGUAGC